This 344-nucleotide ribosomal RNA is filed under the name uncultured bacterium. Its description in RNAcentral is "bacterial SSU rRNA". It matches the Rfam family "Bacterial small subunit ribosomal RNA", at positions 30 to 374 of the family's 1533-position model. The record is from RNAcentral.
AUUGAACGCUGGCGGCAUGCCUUACACAUGCAAGUCGAACGGCAGCACGGGAGCAAUCCUGGUGGCGAGUGGCGAACGGGUGAGUAAUAUAUCGGAACGUGCCCAGUCGUGGGGAUAACGUAGCGAAAGCUACGCUAAUACCGCAUACGAUCUAUGGAUGAAAGCGGGGGAGUCGCAAGACCUCGCGCGAUUGGAGCGGCCGAUAUCAGAUUAGGUAGUUGGUGAGGUAAAGGCUCACCAAGCCGACGAUCUGUAGCUGGUCUGAGAGGACGACCAGCCACACUGGGACUGAGACACGGCCCAGACUCCUACGGGAGGCAGCAGUGGGGAAUAUUGGACAANAG